This 720-nucleotide ribosomal RNA is filed under the name uncultured bacterium. Its description in RNAcentral is "bacterial SSU rRNA". It matches the Rfam family "Bacterial small subunit ribosomal RNA", at positions 28 to 737 of the family's 1533-position model. The record is from RNAcentral.
AGUGAACGCUGGCGGCAGGCCUAACACAUGCAAGUCGAACGGCAGCACAGCAGUAGCAGUACUGUGGGUGGCGAGUGGCGGACGGGUGAGGAAUACAUCGGAAUCUGCCUAGUCGUGGGGGAUAACGUAGGGAAACUUACGCUAAUACCGCAUACGACCUACGGGUGAAAGCGGGGGAUCGCAAGACCUCGCGCGAUUAGAUGAGCCGAUGUCCGAUUAGCUAGUUGGCGGGGUAAUGGCCCACCAAGGCGACGAUCGGUAGCUGGUCUGAGAGGAUGAUCCGCCACACUGGGACUGAAACACGGCCCAGACUCCUACGGGAGGCAGCAGUGGGGAAUUUUGGACAAUGGGCGCAAGCCUGAUCCAGCCAUGCCGCGUGAGUGAAGAAGGCCUUCGGGUUGUAAAGCUCUUUCAGGUGGAAAGAAAUCGGCGGGGUGAAUACCCCCGCUGGAUGACGGUACCAUCAGAAGAAGCACCGGCUAACUACGUGCCAGCAGCCGCGGUAAUACGUAGGGUGCGAGCGUUAAUUGGAAUUACUGGGCGUAAAGCGUGCGCAGGCGGUGAUGUAAGACAGAUGUGAAAUCCCCGGGCUCAACCUGGGAACUGCGUUUGUGACUGCAUCACUCGAGUACGGCAGAGGGAGGUGGAAUUCCACGUGUAGCAGUGAAAUGCGUAGAGAUGUGGAGGAACACCGAUGGCGAAGGCAGCCUCCUGGGCCAG